UCUCUCAAUCCACUCAGCUGUCAACAGUCAACACGCAUACGAGACCACCUGGAGGUGCGCUCGCCGCCGCCUCAAUUUCGGCUGUCGCCGGCCACAUCCGCUGCCGCUGCUUUCCGACGAGGCAACACCCAGGUCUCCUCCUCCGUUUCCCUGCACCGUGAAGCCUGCCCGCAUCCGCACACACAACUGCGCAAAACCCUAACCGUUUUUUCUGCCCCUCCCGUUCGAGAUCCCGACCGUCCUCUUCACUAUUGCCGGUGGCCAAGGUGGCCAGCGGUGAGGGGGAAAGAGGACCGGAGAUGUAGAAGUUGUUUCCGCUCAGUACAAGGUGGAGGCUGUGGGAGGAGUCAUGAUCGCCGGAAUUCGGUGUAGUUCACGGCCAUGUGCUCCUUCAUCUGGAGUUCUUUCCCUGUUCCAAAUGAUAUCAAUCCGACUCUUCAUCGGUACGUCUCGCUGCUAAGGCACAUGCCCGAUGCUGCCGCUAGCCAUCUAAAGGGGCAAUGGGGCCUAAUCAGAAUAUGGCCGCAACGCUAGCUGAUACAUCGCUCCUUCCUGCCAUAUGCCACGUCGUGCCAUCCUCGCAAAAAAAAAAAGUCAUGUUGUCUGUACCGUAAGUAUUUUUAUAAAUUGUCAAACCUGCACAAGUUCUUUUAGCUACUAGCUUCAAUUUUUUUAAUCUAUUGCCCAUUUACAGCUUGCCAGUAUUGGUUAAUUAUCACAUUUACAUAGUAUAAACCAAUAGCUAAAAAUAUUAAUUUGAUGUGUUUUUUCUUCAAAUUUUGCGGUGCCUCAAAUAUGAAGAGGAAAACAACAGCGAUAAACUCCUUUUACAAGCCAAUUAUCAACAAGUGUGUUAUAUAUGAUGAAAAUUUAGCUUUGUUUGUAUUGCCAAACAUACUUUGAUAUAUUGGGAUGUUCAUAUGUAUUGCGAUCUUUUUUGUGUCAGUACUGUAGAGUAAAGCAUCAUCAGCAAUUUGCUUGCCGAGCAAUAUGUUGCUAUAGUCAUGUAUUGAUGUUACCAUUUAAAACUAUUUCAAGGCCAUGUCUGUCAUGUUGGUGGAGCUCGGUGCUUGGACUUGGCCUAAGGCGAGCGCUAUCCUGGGAGGUAUCCGCUCCGCUGGUCGACGCUGUGGUGUUUCCGUUCCCAUUGGCCACAACAUAGAUGCAUGUGGUUGAGUGCCUGGUUCUGAACUUCAGGAAGUUGUGCUCCCUGUUUCCCCUUCUUUCGGCUAUUGUCGUGGUGUUGGAGAUGGAGCGGUGGAAAGGAAGAUAUCGGCGAUUAGGUGGAGCUACCGCACAGGCUGUUGAUUUAAUCUCAUGGUCGAGUGGUAGUGACCGCAUGCCGAACUUCGGCAUGGUGAAUCUUCUGGUCAAGUGGUGACCGUACAAGAAUUUUCUCCCAGCUUGGCGUAGGCAAGAAGGGAGGCAAAUCCACUACAUCUCGGUUUUUUGCCGCUUUUUGUCAACAACGAGUUGUCCGCGUCGCUUAGCCUCACCGAAAAGACUGUCCAGCAGGAAAACAUUUAUGCCAAAUAUCAGGCAGGAUGGACAUCCUCCAUUCAGCUCUCAUCUGCAUUGAUGCACACACAUGUUCAUUAACAUGAGAACUGUUGGGUGUUACAAGCUGGGCUAUUAAGUUGUUGCCUCAUGUUACUAAUGCCUUUAAUAUGUUGUUUCAAAUAGCCUUACUGAAUAAGUUGACUCAUGUUGUGUAGCUGACCGCGGAACAACUAUUUACCUAGAGAAGUCUGAAGGUAUUCCUCUUCUUUUUUUCUUUCAGAUCAAAUAGAAAACAUCAAUAUAGAUGAUAUUUGGCCUGUUCAAUUUUCUCCAUGGCUUAUUCACGAAUCUAUCUCACCGGAACAGCUACUUACCUGAGAGCAUAUGAUCAAAUUCUAUACCCUAUAGUAGGAGAACAUUGAUGGACAUGAAACUAGCUACUUACCUAAGAGCGUAUGAUCAAAUUCUAUACCCUAUGGUAGGAGAACAUUUAUGGACAUGAACCUGCUAAGAUCAUACCAGAAUUAUAAAAAGAAAACAAGCUGGAAGUCCAAGGACAAAGAAUAGGAGGACUAACCUAAGUAUCUUAGACUGCCAGAUUUCUAUUAUUUAAAAAUUGUCACCUUGCCUGCUUAUGAUCUUACCAUUUCAUUUUUUGUUUCCUAUUUUCAUCUUUACAGUGAAUAUAGAAAAAUACACGAGAAACUGAAGAUUCUUAGCAUCUUAAUGUUCUAUCCCUUUCAGUAUGCGACGCCAUAUGUUCCUUGCCGAGACCACAAAAGUUCCUAUUUUAGUAGAUUUGAGUUGACGUUUCUUCUUCUUUUACAAAAUAUACUUGCCACCAUCUCAGUUAGCAUAUCAAACAGAAUGCCCCAAGACAGUAAGCCUGACGAGAAAACAUAGGGACGUCAAGAAUAUAUUUGAUUUCCAUUGAGAAAAAAAGACAUAGGUGUUUCUACUUCUAACUUCCAUCUUGAACCAUGACACUGCACUAUAGACUCUAUCUUCAUGUAAUUUGUAAUCGCACGCCACAUGAUUUAUGUUAAUCCAUGUUCUAUAUUACCACUCAUGUCUAGGGUUUAUUCCAUAUAGAUACAUCUUGAACUGCAUCUUAUUAGGAUUGGAUUUGUAUAGCAUGGACACCUGAGCUGUUGACUUUUUCUACGGCCAAGAUUUCUGACCAAAUAUUUUAACAAUUAAUUACUUUAUUGGUUAUUUUCUGUAUUAAUUUAUACUUCAACCUUUACACCUUAUGACAUUCUUUUGUUUGCGGGGGUACAUGCAAUUGUUAUAUAUAUUUAGAAAUAGUACAUGUGAAGAAAAAUGAAAAUUUUCAGGUUUUUUAGAGGCGGAUAUUUUAUUGGCCUUACAGGUGAUUGAAAUCUGUAUGUCCUAAUUUAGCCUUUAUUUCAGUUCUUUAAUCAGGCAUUAUUUUUUAUCAUCUUACCAGGCUCCGAGUUGUGUUCUUUUCUUUGCAGACAAGAAGUGCUUAUGGUGUUGAGCUACCUUCUGGUAAAUUCAUAAACAUAUGUCUACUGUCAUUUUGGAGGUAGUAUAAUUAAUUUCAAAAGCCAGCCUCCAAAAGUUAUAUCUCACACCACUGUUAUAUAUGCAGUUUGUUGCGCAACACAUGAGUGAUCUGUUUUCUUACAGAUAGUGACAAAUAUAUUAAUAGAAGGCAUGUCAUGGCGUUUCUGGAGAGACUUACUUAAUUUCUUUUUUUGUUCAUGUUUUUCAAGAUAUGUUUUAAUUCCACUUUACACUCCUUUAUGUGGCAUUGUUCGUAAUUUAUGCUUGCUCCUCUCUUAUUUAUUUGGUUUGAGGGAACAUAACGAUUGGCAAUAUGCAUUGCAGGUUCAGUCCUGAACAUUGUGGACUGGAUGUACGUAUGAUGUUGUGAAGCUUUUUCUCCGUGUUUUGUUUUUGCCCACUGCAUUUAGUUGAUUUGAAAAAAAUGUUUGGAAUAUGUACAUAGGAUUUAGCCAUGUGGAUCUGUUCGUUACUCUUUCAUGUGCAGUUAAUUUAUAUGUAUACCAUUGAAAUUUUGAUUCAAUUUUUUUUUCAUGACGAGGUCUUUAAUUCAUUUGUGUUUAUCUC
Non-coding RNA from Lolium perenne, 3597 nucleotides. The record is from RefSeq and is a predicted model, not a curated record. NCBI's taxonomy places the organism in Eukaryota, Viridiplantae, Streptophyta, Magnoliopsida, Poales, Poaceae.